RNAcentral lists this long non-coding RNA (343 nucleotides) under Danio rerio (zebrafish). RNAcentral describes it as "si:dkey-11c5.14 (ENSDARG00000096750.2)". Lineage: Eukaryota; Metazoa; Chordata; Actinopteri; Cypriniformes; Danionidae. The record is from RNAcentral.
GCAUGGUCUGUGGGUUAUACCCUCGAAAAGGCAAUGCUCUUGAAGCUCAGCAGUGCAUGCUGUCCAAAAAGACUCCAAAAGCAUCACAAGAGGCUGAAACGGUUAUAGAAGACCUUCUUGGAUUGUGAUCUCCACUAAUUCGAAGGAAACAGACGCCAUGCAGACCAUACACAGCCUUCGCCUCACAUGCCCUCACUGCAUCAGGAACCUCAUGAGGAUAAGCACACCAGUGAAAUCUUACAAACCUGACACUCAUUAAAACAUAGUUAGCGGAAAUAAUAACUGUCUGUAAACAUAAAUGCCUCAUAAGUUUGCAAUAAAUUGAAUACAUGAUGCAACAGCC